GUUGAAUUAAUAAAGCUGUGCGUUUUGCACCAGCAUUUAAGUUUGUUCGUAGUUGCUAGUUCAGUCCUCAAGUUCUAUUUGUUUACAAUUUGGUCCUGUGUAUUCAGUUAGUCGUGGAACACUUUCUGUUGUUAGUUGCUAAGAUCAUGGCUGAUUCUUAGCUUUAUAAUCGAUCUUCUGCAACGAAUCUCGUUGUCAGUUUGGUACAGAUUGCCUUUACAU
RNAcentral lists this long non-coding RNA (222 nucleotides) under Linum usitatissimum (flax). RNAcentral describes it as "long non-coding RNA (LUSI_LNC006648)". The record is from RNAcentral. Lineage: Eukaryota; Viridiplantae; Streptophyta; Magnoliopsida; Malpighiales; Linaceae.